CCUACGGGGAGCAGCAGUGAGGAAUAUUGGUCAAUGGACGAGAGUCUGAACCAGCCAAGUAGCGUGAAGGAUGACUGCCCUAUGGGUUGUAAACUUCUUUUAUAUGGGAAUAAAAUGUUCCACGUGUGGGAUUUUGUAUGUACCAUAUGAAUAAGGAUCGGCUAACUCCGUGCCAGCAGCCGCGGUAAUACGGAGGAUCCGAGCGUUAUCCUGAUUUAUUGGGUUUAAAGGGAGCGUAGGUGGAUUGUUAAGUCAGUUGUGAAAGUUUGCGGCUCAACCGUAAAAUUGCAGUUGAAACUGGCAGUCUUGAGUAAAGUAGAGGUGGGCGGAAUUCGGGGUGUAGCGGUGAAAUGCUUAGAUAUCACGAAGAACUCCGAUUGCGAAGGCAGUUCACUGGACUGCAACUGACACUGAGGCUCGAAAGUGUGGGUAUCAAACAGGAUUAGAUACCCCAGUAGUC
This 460-nucleotide ribosomal RNA is filed under the name uncultured bacterium. Its description in RNAcentral is "partial 16S ribosomal RNA". It matches the Rfam family "Bacterial small subunit ribosomal RNA", at positions 338 to 795 of the family's 1533-position model. The record is from RNAcentral.